This 207-nucleotide unclassified non-coding RNA is filed under the name soil metagenome. RNAcentral describes it as "partial contains 5.8S ribosomal RNA, internal transcribed spacer 2, and large subunit ribosomal RNA". The record is from RNAcentral.
AACCUAGCACACCUGCGGUGUGUACCUGCGGAAGGAUCAUUACUGAGUGAGGGCCUUCGGGCUCGACCUCCAACCCUUUGUGAACACAACUUGUUGCUUCGGGGGCGACCCUGCCGUUUCGACGGCGAGCGCCCCCGGAGGCCUUCAAACACUGCAUCUUUGCGUCGGAGUUUAAGUAAAUUAAACAAAACUUUCAACAACGGAUCU